ACUCCUACGGGAGGCAGCAGUGGGGAAUAUUGCACAAUGGGGGAAAGCCCAUCGAUGCAGCCAUGCCGCGUGUGUGAAGAAGGCCUUCGGGUUGUAAAGCACUUUCAGUAGGGAGGAAGGUAGUGUAGUUAACACCUGCAUUAUUUGACGUUACCUACAGAAGAAGCACCGGCUAACUCCGUGCCAGCAGCCGCGGUAAUACGGAGGGUGCGAGCGUUAAUCGGAAUUACUGGGCGUAAAGCGCAUGCAGGCGGCCUGUUAAGUCAGAUGUGAAAGCCCGGGGCUUAACCUCGGAAUUGCAUUUGAAACUGGCAGGCUAGAGUCUUGUAGAGGGGGUG
RNAcentral lists this ribosomal RNA (338 nucleotides) under uncultured bacterium. RNAcentral describes it as "bacterial SSU rRNA". It matches the Rfam family "Bacterial small subunit ribosomal RNA", at positions 335 to 662 of the family's 1533-position model. The record is from RNAcentral.